GGCGACCAGAGUUGCUGGGCAGUCUUGGGUUUAGUGCCGCAAUGCUGCGCUUCUGACAGGCUGCUUCCUGGAUCCCUGCAGGGACCUGGCCAGGGCAUUGGCCCCAGGUCACCUGUGGCUUUGGGGAGAGGAGUUGCAGGGCUGGCCUGGGCUGUGGGAGGCAGCUGUGCCGUUUUCUGACAGCCAUUGGGACCGCCCCAGUACCCGAAGAGGUGGCUGCCCUGAGUUGCCACGGGAAUUGGAGGGUGGCCCUGGCUCAGCAGCCAACCUCGGGGAGACCUGGAGGAACAGUGCAGUGUAAAGAUGGCGGCCUCGCACUGAGCGGGUCCCCACAGUCGGCACUCCCAGGAGAACCAGCAUGUGGCCCGCCAGCCUGCACCGCGGGCACGUCCUUCCCACCCAGAGGACCCCGCACUGCCUUCAGGGCCAUAGCAGUCCUCCGGGGCCCAGCCUCAGGCAGGAAACAGCAAAUGCUUUUGCUGCCAACCAAGUGCGGCUGUCGCUUUCGAUGGCGCCAGUGGCCCUGGUGCGACUGCCGGGCAGCAUGUGUGGGCGGGGAUGGCUCGGCCACUGACCGUCUCCCCGCAGUGGUGGUCCUGCUGCAUGAUGUCCGUGACGUGAGCGUGGAGGAGGAGAAGGUCCGGUACUUCGGGAAGGGCUACAUGGUGGUGCUCCGGCUCGCAACGGGCUUCUCCCACCCCCUCACGCAGAGCGCGGUCAUGGGCCACCGCAGUGAUGUGGAAGCCAUCGCCAAGCUCAUCACCAGCUUCCUGGAGCUGCACUGCCUUGAGAGCCCCACAGAGCUGUCUCAGAGCAGCGACAGUGAGGCCGGCGACCCUGGGAGCCAGAGCUGACAGCCCCACUGUACCUGAUCCCGUGCACCGCCCACAGGACCCGUGGCACAUUCCCGGUGUGCCUGAGCCCGUGCACCGCCCACAGGACCCGUGGCACAUUCCCGGUGUGCCUGAUCCUGUGCACUGCCCACAGAACCCAUGACCUUGGCUUCAGUCGGUGCCUCCAGCCGAGUUGGCCUAUUGCCUGCUCAUGCUGCUGCUUGCACACUGCAUGAAACAGCAGGCCAGACCAGGACACCCAGACUUUCUCCAUCGUGAGGCCUGGGCCUGCCUUUCUGCAGCCGGAGGUCUCGCCAGCCCUGGACUCCUGCUGUGGGCCACAGCAAGACCUCGGGCAAGUGGAGAGGCGGGGCCAGGCCAGGCCCUUGUGGGUGCUGAUGCUGUGUGUUGUCCCCGACACAGCAGCCUCUCCCUGGUGGACAUCCCCAGCAGUCAGGUGCUUCCCCAAGGGCAGUGAGGUGUGAACAUCCGGGGCCUACCUGGCUGUGCACGCUGCAGCCACACUGGAAGCUGCCCCUCCCCGAGGACCCGCCUCCCUUGCUGAUGCCAGGAUCUCGGCGCAUAGACCGCUCUGCCCCAGUGGUCGUCUCAGAAAGGUCUCUCUGUUCGUCACACUCAGCCUCAGCAUAAGCUGUGAGGCCAGAAAAAAGGUCAGCUCUUCUAGUAUCGUGCAGCGCUUAGAAACCGGGAGCUCCAGCCGGGUGCAGUGGUUCAUGCCAGUAAUCCCAGCACUUUCGGAGGCCGAGGCGGGAGGAUUGCUUGAGGCCAGGAGUUCAAGACCAGCCUGGGUAACACAGCAAGAUCCUGUCUUUGCAAAAAAAUUGACCAAACAAGAAAAACUGGGAGAUUUUCUGCAGAAAUUGAGUUCCAGCCUCUCUCGAACCUGGGAAGACCUGGCAGGAGGGGCUGGGCUCUCCGCUACAGACUUCUCCCCACCCCGUAGGAGCUGAAUGCCAACCAUCCUGACGUGCCAGUGCUCUUGGUCUCCCAAGUGCACCCAGGUCCUCCCAGGUGCAGUGUGCACCGAACACGCCUGGCCUUAUGCCCUGGCCUGUGAGCUGGGGACUCCUGGGCCCUGUGAGCCCCUAGGCGGCAGGCCUAGGAAUGGCUGGGUAGGACAGGGAACGCCUUUGCCCCACGUCUGGCUGUGACCUCGGUGAAAGCCAACAGGAGAGAGAUGGGACCCUCCUCCUCAGUAGUGGCUGCCAGUCCCUCGUUGCAGGACAUGGUCAUCAUAACCAUAAAUAACCCUUCGCGUGUCA
Molecule: small RNA, 2116 nt
Filed under: Pongo abelii (Sumatran orangutan)
Lineage: Eukaryota; Metazoa; Chordata; Mammalia; Primates; Hominidae
Description: retained intron
Source: RNAcentral